Molecule: ribosomal RNA, 458 nt
Filed under: Parvilacerta fraasii
Lineage: Eukaryota; Metazoa; Chordata; Lepidosauria; Squamata; Lacertidae
Description: partial 12S ribosomal RNA
Source: RNAcentral
GCUAAGCCCUAAACAUUGACAGGUAUUAUACAACACCUUCCGCCAGAGAACUACAAGUGAAAAACUUAAAACUUAAAGGACUUGACGGUGUCCCAUAUCGGUCUAGAGGAGCCUGUCCUAUAAUCGAUACCCCUCGUUCCACCCAACCUCAACUAGCAAACAUGCCAGCCUAUAUACCGCCGUCGACAGCCUACCCUAUGAAGGUAUAACAGUAGACACAACAGCCUCCCACUAGCACGUCAGGUCAAGGUGUAGCAAAUGUUGAGGAAGAGAUUGGCUACAUUUUUUAUAAUAAAAAAUACGAAAUGUAUUAUGAAAUAUUACAUGAAGGUGAAUUUAGUAGUAAAAUAAACAAGAGUGUUUAUUUUAACAACGCUCUGGGACGCGUACACACCGCCCGUCACCCUCCUCACAACUAAACAAAACCUUUAUAAACUAAUCAAAAAAAUAGAGGAGGC